Cebus imitator (Panamanian white-faced capuchin) is the source of this 760-nucleotide long non-coding RNA. RefSeq lists it as uncharacterized. The record is from RefSeq and is a predicted model, not a curated record. NCBI's taxonomy places the organism in Eukaryota, Metazoa, Chordata, Mammalia, Primates, Cebidae. The transcript has 3 exons.
GUUGCAGCAACCUGGAAGCUGGAGGCAAGUAAAUAGAAGAGGAGAGCUUUUGGAUCUCCCAGACUUAGACAACUAUCCUGAAGUGAGAGGAGGGAGUCGUGUCAGAGCCUGAGGACCAGAAAGGAACCAUCUGAAGUAGAUAGAGGUCAGCUGGAGACACACGGCAGGAGAAAAGCCCUAACAAACUAGACCUUCUUCCAAGUACAUGGGCCUGACUUCUUCAGAACAAGGCAAGAGCCAAAACAAAACCUUAAAAAAACGCCUACCCCUGAACAGGAAUUCCCCCAGACUCACGGUAACGCCCUAGUUACACAGCAGAAAGAACAAAGAAGGGAUUUAAGCAUCCUGAAAUCGAAACGGCUAUUUGCUAAACGCGAGGAUCAGCAGAAUGGUUAGAUUCCAGAAAAUGCUGAACCUCUGAGGCCUCUGUUUUCUUCCAUCCUGAUGUUAGGUUGCUGGCAGCCCACGCUGAGCUGCUUUAUGAGAAUGUGCAGCUAGGCCACUGCCUCUAGAAAGAUGAGGGAGGAAGGAAGGGCAGACUGGACUUGCUUGGAAUGUGGAAGCUCUGUGUUGAAGGCAAAAUCGCAAGUCAAACCAUUGUAGCCUGGGACAUGUGUGUGGACUUGCAUUCCUUCCUCUGAGAGAACACACUGAAGGCUGCUCCCUUCUUGAUAUGGCAGGGCUUCCUGAGGACAUAAUGCACAGCUAGCAUGCUUCCGGCAGGUGAUGUGCCUUCUCCUGCUUCACCUUCCACCGGGAG